AGGGGCCCGGCGGUGUGGCAGGAACAAAGGCAGCUUCCAACGCUGGUGCAGGAUUCCGAGCCUUAACCCAGAUGCUCAUGGUGCCCUAGUCUUGAGUUCUUCAUUUAGCGCCUGUAUUUGAAAGGGGUUCCUGGUGUACUUGGGAGAAAAGAAGCUUCUUGGUUUGGUAGUACCUACCAGAGACUCCCUGUUUCCUGCUGGUAUCAGGAUUGAAAAAUCCCACUUCUGUCCAUUUUCUCUCAAGAGUUGAGAGAUGUGUGCCAUCGCUCUUUAAAAGAAGGAACUCUCCUUUUGCUGUGGAUUGUAGGGAGCAGAUUUGGUGCUUACUGUGGCUUCAGGACCCACCUUGAAUGACAGAAUGUCAGUAACAAGCAGCCCCAGGAAAUACGGCUGGUGGUGAACGACUGCCUCUUGAUCUUUGCCCAUCGAGCAACACCAUGUGGAUGGUGUCCAUCCAGCUUGACCUGAACUUGAACAGUAAUUGAUGAGUCCUUAAAAUCCACGCCCGGCCCCCAGGAAUGCCUUGGGGCACCCCAUCCCACGUUCUGAUUCUGGAUGGACUUUUAAGUGAACUCUGAUGAUGAGUAGGCUCUUAAAACUCUUUCUCAACGUUCUCUGCUGGGUUUGUGUGUCACCUCCCAUGCCCUCUCUGGUGUGUGGUGAUUCUCAGAUCUAGAGCAAUGCUUCCUGCCUUGUCCCCCCAUGCCUUUGCGUGUGGGAAGCUAAAAUUCACAUGUGCGAUGCCCUCCCAUGUGCCAUUUUUACCUGGUCCCUUCUGCUCACUCUUUAUUCAUAUUUAAAUGCAGGUGAGUUGGAAUGUCAUCUUACAGGCAUAAUCCUGAAUCUGCUCUAUCGCAGACAUUUUAAAACUAAAUUAAAUGUUAGUACUAAGUAGUAGCCAAAUUCUCUGAGUCUGCUUCAUGACAGGCUGUAACACACUGGUAUGGAACGGUAGGUCUAAUCCUGUGACUCCUUUAUCUAUGAUGUUUUAUGUAUUAUGAGAGCUCAGCAGAUGUUGACAGAGGGAAUGAGACAAG
RNAcentral lists this long non-coding RNA (1037 nucleotides) under Homo sapiens (human). Its description in RNAcentral is "HSALNT0302766". The record is from RNAcentral. Lineage: Eukaryota; Metazoa; Chordata; Mammalia; Primates; Hominidae.